RNAcentral lists this ribosomal RNA (468 nucleotides) under uncultured bacterium. RNAcentral describes it as "partial 16S ribosomal RNA". It matches the Rfam family "Bacterial small subunit ribosomal RNA", at positions 28 to 507 of the family's 1533-position model. The record is from RNAcentral.
GACGAACGCUGGCGGCGUGCUUAACACAUGCAAGUCGAACGGAAAGGCCCUGCUUUUGUGGGGUGCUCGAGUGGCGAACGGGUGAGUAACACGUGAGUAACCUGCCCUUGACUUUGGGAUAACUUCAGGAAACUGGGGCUAAUACCGGAUAGGAGCUCCUGCUGCAUGGUGGGGGUUGGAAAGUUUCGGCGGUUGGGGAUGGACUCGCGGCUUAUCAGCUUGUUGGUGGGGUAGUGGCUUACCAAGGCUUUGACGGGUAGCCGGCCUGAGGGGGUGACCGGCCACAUUGGGACUGAGAUACGGCCCAGACUCCUACGGGAGGCAGCAGUGGGGAAUAUUGCACGAUGGGCGGAAGCCUGAUGCAGCAACGCCGCGUGCGGGAUGACGGCCUUCGGGUUGUAGACCGCUUUCGCCUGUGACGAAGCGUGAGUGACGGUAAUGGGUAAAGAAGCACCGGCUAACUACGUG